Long non-coding RNA from Homo sapiens (human), 452 nucleotides. RefSeq lists it as uncharacterized. The transcript has 3 exons. The record is from RefSeq and is a predicted model, not a curated record. NCBI's taxonomy places the organism in Eukaryota, Metazoa, Chordata, Mammalia, Primates, Hominidae.
GCACAAUCUCUACUCUCAAAAUAGGGCUCUGAAGUCUAGGAACAAGUCCUCAGCUCCUGAAAUGACAGAGGAGGAAAAGAUGCAGAUGCCUCCAGCUAUUACGAGUCCCAUGGCAACAAGGAUCAGAGGCAGAGCUGCUUUCCAUGCCGUGAACUGGGAGCUUCUGGAGAAGGUAGCUGGAGAAGAUUCCCAGAAGCCAGGAAUAUUGGGAACCAUGGGACACCAUGCCAAGAGUGAGCCCUCAUGAAAACUGCACUCUGGGUGCUGACGGCAUUGUCAACGGAAGUUCAUCAAACAUGGUGGACGUUCCUUCUGGUGUAGGGUUUUUAUGCUGGGGGAAGGUGUGUGAGGGGGUUAGGGGAAGAUGGGAACUCUCUGGACUUUCUACUAAAAUUUGUUGUGACCCUAAAACUGCUUUAAAAAAUAAAGCCUAUUUUAAAAAACCCUAAAAA